This 332-nucleotide long non-coding RNA is filed under the name Cyanistes caeruleus (blue tit). Its description in RNAcentral is "lncRNA (ENSCCEG00000020177.1)". The record is from RNAcentral. Lineage: Eukaryota; Metazoa; Chordata; Aves; Passeriformes; Paridae.
CUGAAGGGUACUGUGAAUGCUUUGUGCUUGGUGCAAUCUGAAAAGGUGCUACUGAUGCUGCUUGAAAGCUCAAGUUUCUUGGCAAUGUAAUGACAGUCACAGCCUGAUGAAAAUGUGCAUUUCGGAUGGUUUUCCCUUGUGAACUUGUCUAAGUUCCACAUCACCUUUUGAAAAAAAAUGAGUGGAGCUUCCUGAAUAUACCACAACCACACAAAAGCUGCGCCUGAUGGCCUCUGAUCUGAAAACACUGCAGCAGGAAAUCUCCUCUAGAGAUUUAUUUGACAGAAUGAGUUGACAUGGGCAACUCAGAAACUUGUCCAACAAAGAAACCC